Molecule: non-coding RNA, 3567 nt
Organism: Lolium perenne
Lineage: Eukaryota; Viridiplantae; Streptophyta; Magnoliopsida; Poales; Poaceae
Source: RefSeq, a predicted model, not a curated record
UAUGUUUAGGACAUUUGAGACUGAGAUGGUGAUGCAUGCAGCUAUGAAUAUGAGAUAAAUGAAGAUCUCUUCUCUUAUAUGAAGGUGUGGGAUUUGCUCCACACAACAAGGUUUCGAUGCUGUUUUCGAAGUUUUUGUAGUGACAAACGUUUUGCCCACAGGUAACCUGUUCUAUCAAGUUGUAGUGGUUGUUUGCUGCGGUGUACUGGAUGCCUUUCUUUCCUUUGGAGAGAUAGAAUUUAUUAGAUUUAAUGUGUAUGCUCUUUUGUCUUUUACAUGUGUUAGUUUGUGCUAUGGUAGAUUAGAGAUGUUGGUUUAUGUUAUAUUUGAUUCAAACAUUCAGCUUGAAAAAUAAUAGCUGAGAUGGAACUACUGUGUUGGUACUGGCAAUUGAAAGAUCCAACACUUUGAUUUCAUUCUCAUCUUAUGAGCAGGUAAUUGCUAAUAUGCUCAUACAGCCUAUUUAUGCAUUUUGCCCUUCCCUGUUUUGCAUCUUACAUGCUUGUUUAUGUUGAUAAGCACAAGCUUCUACUAUGUAAGCACAUGCUUAUUAGUUUUAUCUACCCCUGUUUAUCACGGUCAUAAUAUUAUAUCGAUGGCUAUGUGUUGCAUUUAUCUCCACCUCAUACUUUUGACACAAAUAUAUAAGAAAAAGGCAUUGCAAAAUCGUGAGCGAUUCGAAAACAUAAUUUUAUUUUAUUCUCAACCUUUCCCUCUGACUUGUGCACUUUCAGUUUACAUCUUAUCUGAUGGACUUGCGUAAUGGAGCCAUCUCACGCUGAUCAAGAUUCACAUCUUUUUUUCCUCUCUAUUUUAUGCUAUGAAGGUCUCGGUUCAUGUGCCCCUAUUAUUUGCAGGGAAGAAACAGAGAAAGGCCUGUUCGAGGACACUUACACGUACUAGGAAUGUGCCCAUGCUCAUAGGCAUGUUUUGUUCCUUGCUUAGUUCCAGGCCACUCCUUCCUCCUCUCAUCUGUACUUCAUUUCUUGUGUGAGAUUUGGAUGAUUGUUCAAAUUAAUUUGGGGAUUAAUAUAUUUCAGAAGGCAAACUUUUCUUUAACUCACAUAAAUUACCCCAGAUCUUAGUGCUAAAUAACAGAUUAGGUAAUUUCCACAUUUGUUUAGAUUUCUUCUAUUAAAUUGUUCAGUUAUCUUGCUCUUGGUUGAUACCUAUCAUUGCUUAUGGCUCUUCUACAUUCAUUUAUGAUAUAUAUAGGAUUAGGAAUCUUGGAUGAUAAUUAUAAGAGUCGACGACACAGGAGCAUGGUCAAGUGAGAGGUAUGACAUGGGAGUACAAGAGAAUAGUGCUAUGCUGAACCUGUGCCUUGCAAGCUUCUAAUUGAAUUGGAGAAGCUGAAAGUGUGUUUUGUUACUGCAAGGGGUAGAUGUGGAGGUCAGGAUCGUCCACACCUCGCCCUCCGGUGGCGUGGUGGCCGCCGAGUCGAAGGAGGCGCAGGCGCAGGCAAGCUGGGUUGUGCUGGACAGGGACUUGAAGCACGAGGAGAGACUCUGCAUUUCCUAAUAUAUUCUUAUACAAAGGGCCCAGAGAAAAGAUAUCACAUUUCUUUUCUCUCAUACCAAUGCAACAUAUGAUGUUUGACUUGCCACCUACGUGAUAUAUAGGACUUUCCUACAUGUUGUUCAUCUUAUGGAGGUCCGCAUCAUUGCAUUGCAGGUGGUUUUAACUCUAUUUUAUAGCAGCUCUCUAAGGGUUGUCUCAGGCGCCACUGGUGCUUUUUUUGUUACGCUGGUGGGGCAGAGCGCUCCUCCGGAGAUGCUGCAGAUGCUGACUUACCUCGCCAUGAAGCACGACGCCAACAUGCAGCGUGUCGACACAGUCCGGGCUUACAGCUUCGGGGCUCUCUACUUUGUCGAGGUAUUAUGUUGGCUUUCCAAAGGCACUGCAAGAGGAUGGGAAGAACAAGAAAUAUGGGAAAAGAUGCCAGUUAUAUCUUAAUACACAGGUUAUGCACUUAUGAUGCAUACUCAUGCGGUUUAUUAUGUCAGAAGAAAAUACAUGAGAAUGCAUGCGUUCCUGAGCAGGUUCAGUGUCACUAUAUCAUUGAUAUUGACCAUGCUUCUGGUACAAAAAAUGUACAAAUGGCACACCAAUUCCUAAGUAGUGCAUUUCCUUUGCUUAGAAUCCUUUUCUAUGUAGGUUCUUUUGGUAUGCCUUUCUGUUAAGAACUUGAGUAAUUUCAAACUAUGGAUCUUUCAAUGCAUAUUUGAGCAGUGUGUCCCUAUUUGGUAUGUUGCCUUUGCUCAUGUUCCUUCUCUAAGUGAGUAAUUUCAAAUUCGGGAUCUUUCUAUGAAUAUUUGAAGUUUGGUGUCAAAUGUUUGCCUUUGCUCAGCCUUUCUCAUCAUUUUUGUUUUUCCUUAUCAGGGCGUGAAACAUUCAUCAUCAUGGAUUCCAGAUUAUGCAUUCUCUUUCUGAUGGCACCUAAGACCUAACGUAUCAUAAAUAAUAAAAUAAUCCGAAGUCCUUCACACACCUUGGCUGCGUGUAUCUGCCCAUCUUUCUUUUAUUCAGAACAAACAGAGCAACGAUAUAGCUCACAGCUAAAUCCAAAUACACAACACGACAAUACCUAGACCUGGCAAUGAAAAUUAGAAAGAAAGCACACCACAAAGUAAUAGUAAUAGUUCAGCUUUUGGUCUAAAACUACAAACAAAAUUGCUUUGAUACAAUUUUAUGAUGUAUGAUUCUGAUACCUACAACGUUCUCCUUAUUGUUUUGCUUCAAAGAUUACAGUGUUUAUCUUUAAGAUGUAGACUUUAUUUACACAUCAUUGACUAUUUAAUUUGUCUUUCUCUGCUACUCUCUUCCAAUUGCACGGGCCAUCUCCACAACAGAGGUUACGUAUAGUGUUGGAAAUCAUGCAUACUGUCACCCUGCCAUCAUCAGCCAUCUAGCGCUGCAGCCCUCUCGGCCCGUCUGAGCAUUAGCGGCCUCGAUAGUACCAGCACCGGGAUCGUCAUCUAGGUUUUUGCCUACUGUCUCUAGACCGUAUGUUGUGCCACAAUGGACUGUCGAGAGAUCAGCGGCAGCGAGAUGCAGCCUACAGGCCCAUUAGUUCGAGGAGAUUGGUCCCUAACAACUGAAGCAGCCAUUCAGUUGGCCUAAAGGACAUCAACAACAAUGGGAGCAUUUGUGUCGACAUAUUGAAGGACGAAAGGAGCUCUACUCUAACUAUUUCCAAGCCAAUGAAGGCAGAAUAGGGAAGGCUUCCAGUUCAGUUACUUCCAGAGAUGCAUGGUUGAUAACUGAUGAGUUGUGAAGGCCCAGUUCACUUACUUACAGAGCUGACUGAUAAGUGAGGAGUUUUGCAAGUGGUUUUCAUCAUAACAUGAUAUGGAAUAAACCCUGUCGAAGACGUGCCUGAUGCUGAUGGAAAGAAAAACAUCAGUUGAUUCCCCGUUAGGAAAGUUGUCUAAUAGGUGACACGGGUCACCGAUAGUUCUCUUCUAGCUAUCUAGGUGCUGUAGAAUCUUACCGUUCCACUCUUCUCUUUUGCUAUGUAUUGUACAUAUGAAUCAACCGUACGAUGCAAUAGCUGUCUUCUGCAUC